This 1212-nucleotide long non-coding RNA is filed under the name Sus scrofa (pig). RNAcentral's name for it is "lncRNA (ENSSSCG00060064175.1)". Lineage: Eukaryota; Metazoa; Chordata; Mammalia; Artiodactyla; Suidae. The record is from RNAcentral.
GCCGCUCUGGGCCGCAGCCCGGGCCCUGACUGCAUUUCCGCCGGCGCCCAAGCGAGGAAGGGCGGGUCCUGCAUCCGAGGCAUCCCCGAUCCAUCCAGCAUCUUCUCGCGCAGUCUUCUUCGACCCGCUGCCACAGUCCCGGCGCCCCAGGCCCUGCGCAGAUGAAGACCCUCCCUCGGACGGCUUUGCGGGCCCUGCCUCAGCCGGCGCCCCCUUCUCUCCUGCAGGACCCGGACCCGCACUGCAGGGGCUGAGUGCCCCCUGGUUGGCGUCUGAGUCUUGCCUCCCCGUAGGCUCAGUACCUGGCAUGUGUCCAAGGCUCAGCAGCUGUACCACAACCACCCAACAGGAGAGAAGGAAAGGAGAGGUGCACCCCGGGGAUGUGGUGAGGCCAUCCCGUCAUGGGGAAUCAGAAAAGGACUGCGUCUUAGCCAGCCAGCUGGGGGAAGAGGAGGCAGCACCGGGCAGAGGGGCCCUUGAGAGAUGUCACCAUCCUGUUAAGAAAGGGCUGGACCACAGCGCUGCAGAGAUGAGUCCACGGUGUGCAGAGGCCGUCGUGGAAGUUGUCGUGUCAGCAGCGCUGUAGACCGCAGUGUCCUUGAGUGUUCAUUCUGACUCUUCUCUGGGAGCAUUGAGAUUCCUUUUUGAGCCAAGAUUGGUGUGGAAAAAAACACUGCAGCUCAUCUCUGACUAAUUGGGGACGCUUUCAUGGAUGUCACCUUAAAGAAAGAUGAGGGGUGCUGCUUUGGAAGAAGCCUCGGGGGUCAGAACCACUCGCCCUCUCAAGGUGAGGACCUGGGUCCCAGCUCCCCCGGAGGGUCCUCCUCAUGGUAUUUAGGGGCUGACCGCGGACACUGGCGUAGCAGCGUGAAGCAGGAUGUUGUCGCAUGACCAUCGCCAAACCUUUCUCUUCUGUUGCCUCAGCACAGCGUGGAAGGACUCUGCCCUCUGUGUGAACAGGGCAGAGGGGAAGUUCUGGGGCUCCAGGGACUUGGGGUUCAGAGCUGGAGACCUUCUACUGGCUCCCAGCAGGUGCCUCAGAACACUGCUGACCAGGAAGACUGUCUCUUCCCAUCUGGACCAGGUCAUCCCGUGGCUUCUGUGUCUCCCAUUUGCUCCUAGUAUAACUUUUUAGAACCAGGAGUUCCUGUUGGAGUCUUGUGUGCCGUGCAUCUUAUCUUCUCACCCACUUAAAUAAAUCUCGAAACUGCC